GAUGAACGCUAGCUACAGGCUUAACACAUGCAAGUCGAGGGGAAACGACAUCGAAAGCUUGCUUUUGAUGGGCGUCGACCGGCGCACGGGUGAGUAACGCGUAUCCAACCUGCCCAUCACUUGGGGAUAACCUUGCGAAAGUAAGACUAAUACCCAAUGAUAUCUCUAGAAGACAUCUGAAAGAGAUUAAAGAUUUAUCGGUGAUGGAUGGGGAUGCGUCUGAUUAGCUUGUUGGCGGGGUAACGGCCCACCAAGGCAACGAUCAGUAGGGGUUCUGAGAGGAAGGUCCCCCACAUUGGAACUGAGACACGGUCCAAACUCCUACGGGAGGAAGCAGUGAGGAAUAUUGGUCAAUGGGCGAGAGCCUGAACCAGCCAAGUAGCGUGCAGGAAGACGGCCCUAUGGGUUGUAAACUGCUUUUAUAAGGGAAUAAAGUGAGAGUCGUGACUCUUUUUGUAUGUACCUUAUGAAUAAGGACCGGCUAAUUCCGUG
Molecule: ribosomal RNA, 492 nt
Filed under: uncultured bacterium
Lineage: Bacteria
Description: partial 16S ribosomal RNA
Rfam family: Bacterial small subunit ribosomal RNA
Source: RNAcentral